Molecule: long non-coding RNA, 564 nt
Filed under: Gouania willdenowi (blunt-snouted clingfish)
Lineage: Eukaryota; Metazoa; Chordata; Actinopteri; Blenniiformes; Gobiesocidae
Description: lncRNA (ENSGWIG00000013051.1)
Source: RNAcentral
CACGAAGAGCAGCAGGAGUGUUUGUGGAAAGCACGCGUUCCUUUUAUCUCAACACCUGCUCAGCUCUCUGUGCAGAUUGUGCAGAACUGGCUUCACUUUGACGGCCAACGCUGAGCAGACUGUGAUGUUGGACACUGUCUCCACUGCAGAACUGUAGCCCUCCAGGACACUGAGCAGCUUCCCAACGCACGGCUGAGAGGAAACAAAGACAGGAAGUUACACGUCUUUGAUCAUAAACUCUCAAAGCGAUCCAUCGCUUGUGUUUGAAGACACCUCUCUAGCCACCCCGUUGAACAUUGCAGAGCUUUCCUUCACUGCGAAGCAAGCACCGACCCACGGCCCGGAAAGGGACGAGGAGCCGGAGCCGGUCGGAGCUCCGCGAGCAGCGCUGAAAAACACCCAGAAAAGUGCAACCAAAGUCGGGUAAGAAGCCAUGGUGUCGGUGUGUUCCUGUGCUAAUGCUCUAAUGAUGAACUGAUGAUGCUCGUGCUCUCUGAUCAUCACCUUUUAUCUGCUGUCUACGGUGAGUCACACGUGCAGGGUUUUCCUCCAUCCUCGCGCUCC